GAUGAAGAACGUAGUGAAAUGCGAUACGUAAUGUGAAUUGCAGAAUUCAGUGAAUCAUCGAAUCUUUGAACGCAUAUUGCGCUCUCUGGUAUUCCGGAGAGCAUGCUUGUUUGAGUAUCAGUAAACACCUCAACUUCCAUAUCUUUUUUGAAAUGGGAGUUGGACUUGAGUGAUCCCAACGCUUUUCCUCACCGAAAAGUGGCGGGUUACUUGAAAUGCAGGUGCAGCUGGACUUUUCUCUGAGCUAUAAGCAUAUCUAUUUAGUCUGCCUAAAAAACAGAUUAUUACCUUUGCUGCAGCUAACAUAAAGGAGAUUAGUUCUUGUGCUGACUGAUGCAGGAUUCACAAAGACAGGCUUCGGCCGACUCUGUAAACUCGAUCUCAAAUCAAGUAAGACUACCCGCUGAACUUAAGCAUAUCAAUAAGCGGAGGA
Molecule: unclassified non-coding RNA, 433 nt
Filed under: soil metagenome
Description: partial contains 5.8S ribosomal RNA, internal transcribed spacer 2, and large subunit ribosomal RNA
Rfam family: 5.8S ribosomal RNA (bases 1-120)
Source: RNAcentral